GAAGAAUUUGGGAAUAGUGUGACGGGUAGUUCGUAGUUCAAUGUGUGACCGUUGUGUGUGAUUGGGAGUGAACCCGUGAAUGAUGAUAAUAAAGUAACUGAUUUUUGUAGUUAGACGAGUGUUGUAUCGUUUUGUGCAUACCUGUAGCCUUGUCACGUCAAAUUUAAUUCCAUAUAUUAAUGCAACGAUGUACCAGUUGCAUUUUUCGUGUUUUUUUAAUCAAUGUACCUGUCAUGUCAGUAAUAAUUAGGACUAAAAAAUUAUCGGACCCAAGCAAAAAAUUAAUUUUCUGACCCAAGAAAAUCCCAUUUGACCCAAGAAACCUCGCAUUUCCGGUGAAAUUAUAUAAAAUUCGGAUUUAAAAAAAAAAUAAAAAUCAACUCCCCAUUAUUUCUUUUUUUACAAAAUAUUAUUUGGAUAUAUAAUAAUUAGGACUAAAAACUAUCUGACCCAAGCAAAAAACUGGCGGACACUGUCCGUACAAAAGUUAUGCAUGCGUGAUGCUAUAUUCCUUUUUUUAUAGUAGCUCCUUUUUAUACAAUAGACCUCGCAAAGAUCGGUGUUUUCUUGUCAUUUUACUUGUCUAACCAACCAGCAAUUGUACCGCGGCAUACACAGUGCGCGGUGCGGCGGGAACCAAUCAUACUGGUUAUCGCGAAGACAACUUCCCAAUCAAUCAAGCGAACUUGUAAAAAAAAAAAAA
Patiria miniata (bat star) is the source of this 703-nucleotide long non-coding RNA. RefSeq lists it as uncharacterized. The record is from RefSeq and is a predicted model, not a curated record. The transcript has 2 exons. Lineage: Eukaryota; Metazoa; Echinodermata; Asteroidea; Valvatida; Asterinidae.